Molecule: ribosomal RNA, 496 nt
Filed under: uncultured bacterium
Lineage: Bacteria
Description: partial 16S ribosomal RNA
Rfam family: Bacterial small subunit ribosomal RNA
Source: RNAcentral
AUGAACGCUGGCGGCGUGCCUAAUACAUGCAAGUCGAGCGAACAGAUGAGGAGCUUGCUCCUCUGACGUUAGCGGCGGACGGGUGAGUAACACGUGGAUAACCUACCUAUAAGACUGGGAUAACUACGGGAAACCGGAGCUAAUACCGGAUAAUAUAUUGAACCGCAUGGUUCAAUAGUGAAAGACGGUUUUGCUGUCACUUAUAGAUGGAUCCGCGCCGCAUUAGCUAGUUGGUAAGGUAACGGCUUACCAAGGCAACGAUGCGUAGCCGACCUGAGAGGGUGAUCGGCCACACUGGAACUGAGACACGGUCCAGACUCCUACGGGGGGCAGCAGUAGGGAAUCUUCCGCAAUGGGCGAAAGCCUGACGGAGCAACGCCGCGUGAGUGAUGAAGGUCUUCGGAUCGUAAAACUCUGUUAUUAGGGAAGAACAAAUGUGUAAGUAACUAUGCACGUCUUGACGGUACCUAAUCAGAAAGCCACGGCUAACUACGUG